This 450-nucleotide ribosomal RNA is filed under the name uncultured Glomeromycotina. RNAcentral's name for it is "SSU rRNA". It matches the Rfam family "Eukaryotic small subunit ribosomal RNA", at positions 569 to 1023 of the family's 1831-position model. Lineage: Eukaryota; Fungi; Glomeromycota. The record is from RNAcentral.
AGCAGCCGCGGUAAUUCCAGCUCCAAUAGCGUAUAUUAAAGUUGUUGCAGUUAAAAAGCUCGUAGUUGAAUUUCAGGAUCAAUAUGUCGGUCGUGCCUCCGGUACGUACUGGCAUCAUUGAUUUCUCCCUUCUGACGAACCAUGAUGUCAUUAAUUUGGUGUCAUGGGGAGUCAGGACUGUUACUUUGAAAAAAUUAGAGUGUUUAAAGCAGGCUCACGCUUGAAUACAUUAGCAUGGAAUAAUGAAAUAGGACGUUUGAUUCUAUUUUGUUGGUUUCUAGGAUCGACGUAAUGAUUAAUAGGGAUAGUUGGGGGCAUUAGUAUUCAAUUGUCAGAGGUGAAAUUCUUGGAUUUAUUGAAGACUAACUACUGCGAAAGCAUUUGCCAAGGAUGUUUUCAUUAAUCAAGAACGAAAGUUAGGGGAUCGAAGACGAUCAGAUACCGUCGUAG